UACGUAGGGGGCAAGCGUUGUCCGGAUUUAUUGGGCGUAAAGAGCUCGUAGGCGGUUUGUCGCGUCUGCUGUGAAAACCUAAGGCUCAACCUUGGGCUUGCAGUGGGUACGGGCAGACUAGAGUGCUGUAGGGGUGACUGGAAUUCCUGGUGUAGCGGUGGAAUGCGCAGAUAUCAGGAGGAACACCGGUGGCGAAGGCGGGUCUCUGGGCCGAUACUGACGCUGAGGAGCGAAAGCGUGGGGAGCGAACAGG
Molecule: ribosomal RNA, 253 nt
Filed under: uncultured bacterium
Lineage: Bacteria
Description: partial 16S ribosomal RNA
Rfam family: Bacterial small subunit ribosomal RNA
Source: RNAcentral